GAAGGAAAUUAAGUACGGAAGUUCCUGAUUUCACGCUGUCAAGAAAAGCCUCUAGGAAGAGUAGUACUGCCCGUACCGCAAACCGACACAGGUAGAUGAGGAGAGAAUCCUAAGGUGAGCGAGAGAACUCUCGUUAAGGAACUCGGCAAAAUGACCCCGUAACUUCGGGAGAAGGGGUGCUCUAUUAGGGUGCAAGCCCGAGAGAGCCGCAGUGAAUAGGCCCAGGCGACUGUUUAGCAAAAACACAGGUCUCUGCAAAACCGUAAGGUGACGUAUAGGGGCUGACGCCUGCCCGGUGCUGGAAGGUUAAGAGGAGUGCUUAGCUUCGGCGAAGGUACGAAUUGAAGCCCCAGUAAACGGCGGCCGUAACUAUAACGGUCCUAAGGUAGCGAAAUUCCUUGUCGGGUAAGUUCCGACCCGCACGAAAGGCGCAACGAUCUGGGCACUGUCUCAACGAGAGACUCGGUGAAAUUAUAGUACCUGUGAAGAUGCAGGUUACCCGCGACAGGACGGAAAGACCCCGUGGAGCUUUACUGCAACCUGAUAUGGAAUGUUUGUACCGCUUGUACAGGAUAGGUAGGAGCCGAAGAGACGUGUGCGCUAGCAUACGAGGAGGCAAUGGUGGGAUACUACCCUGGCUGUAUGACCAUUCUAACCCGCCACGCUUAGCGCGUGGGGAGACAGUGUCAGGUGGGCAGUUUGACUGGGGCGGUCGCCUCCUAAAGAGUAACGGAGGCGCCCAAAGGUUCCCUCAGAAUGGAUGGAAAUCAUUCGCAGAGUGUAAAGGCACAAGGGAGCUUGACUGCGAGACUGACAAGUCGAGCAGGGACGAAAGUCGGGCUUAGUGAUCCGGUGGUUCCGCAUGGAAGGGCCAUCGCUCA
This 881-nucleotide ribosomal RNA is filed under the name Listeria monocytogenes. Its description in RNAcentral is "partial 23S ribosomal RNA". It matches the Rfam family "Bacterial large subunit ribosomal RNA", at positions 1570 to 2451 of the family's 2925-position model. The record is from RNAcentral. Lineage: Bacteria; Bacillati; Bacillota; Bacilli; Caryophanales; Listeriaceae.